GAAGGGUCUUGAAAGCAUCCAUAAAUUGCCAGUGGGAACCAAAACAACUCUUUUAAUUAUAUCUCCCCAUAGAUCUCCGACAUUGAAGGGAAAAGCUGGCUGGGUCUGUAGGAGAGAGAGAAAAAAAACACACAACCCAACACCUCUGUCCACUUCUUCAAUUCUAGAAGAGGUAAAUUACUGCCGACCCAGAGAAGUAGUUAUUCAUACGCCAAUAGGUGAGUUCAUGCACAGGAAUUUCUUUCUGUUUCCUAGCUAGCAUGGAGCCCAGCUGUGUGACAUUUGUCAGGUGAACAUGGAUGGUUCCAAGACAGCCCCAAACGGAACAGUAUUAUUUUUUUGCUUAUUAUGUUUCUGUAGUUUUGGUAUCACAGGAUCAAUGACAGCAUCUUAAAAAGCAGAGACAUCACCUUGCCAACAA
Molecule: long non-coding RNA, 421 nt
Filed under: Pogona vitticeps (central bearded dragon)
Lineage: Eukaryota; Metazoa; Chordata; Lepidosauria; Squamata; Agamidae
Description: lncRNA (ENSPVIG00000021224.1)
Source: RNAcentral